AUGCAUGGAGCCAACAGCUCCAGCCUGACACCAAGAUAUUUCAUUCUCAAUGGCGUUCCUGGGCUGGAAGCUGCACACAUCUGGAUCUCCCUGCCUUUCUGCUUCAUGUACAUCAUUGUUGUUUUGGGGAACUGUGGACUUAUAUACCUCAUUAGCCAUGAGGAGGCCCUGCACCAACCCACCUACUACUUCCUAGACUUGCUGUCUCUUGCAGAUGUUACUGGAUGCACCUCAUUUGUUCCCAAUAUGUUAUGUAUUUUUUGGUUUGGCCUUAAGGAAAUCGACUUUAAUGCCUGCCUUGUGCAGAUGUUUUUCAUCCACAUGCUGACAGGCAUGGAGUCUGGGGUGCUCAUGCUUAUGGCUCUAGACCUCUAUGUGGCCAUUUGCUACCCUCUACACUAUUCCACCAUCUUCACCAACACUGUAAUUACCAAAGUUGGGCUUGUCACCUUCAUUCAAAGUGUGUUGCUUAUGAUUCCAUUUGCUUUCCUGAUCAAGUGUCUUCCCUAUUGCAGGGCAACCUCAUCCACCACACCUAUUUUAACAUAUGUCUGUGGCCAAAUUAUCCUGUGGUAAUGUCCAGAUUAAUGCCAUCUAUGGUCUCAUAGCUGCCAUAUUGAUUGGGGGGUUUGACAUGUUCUGUAUCUCCAUGUCUUACACCAUGAUUAUCCGUGCUGUAGUGAAUUUGUCAUCUGCAGAUGCUGCCACAAAGCCUUCAGUACCUGUACAUCACAUAUAUGUGCUAUUUUCAUCACUUAUGUCCCAGCCUUUUUCAACUUCUUCACUCGCCGCUUUGGGGGACACACCAUACCUCAUCAUGUUCACAUUUUUAUAGCCAACCUUUACCUGAUGCUGCCUCCCACCUUAAAUCCAAUUGUCUAUGGAGUGAAGACCAAGCAGAUCCGUGAAGGAGUGAUCAAAUUGUUUUUUAGA
This 933-nucleotide small RNA is filed under the name Pan troglodytes (chimpanzee). RNAcentral's name for it is "unitary pseudogene". The record is from RNAcentral. Lineage: Eukaryota; Metazoa; Chordata; Mammalia; Primates; Hominidae.